RNAcentral lists this ribosomal RNA (551 nucleotides) under uncultured bacterium. Its description in RNAcentral is "bacterial SSU rRNA". It matches the Rfam family "Bacterial small subunit ribosomal RNA", at positions 355 to 896 of the family's 1533-position model. The record is from RNAcentral.
UAGGGAAUCUUCGGCAAUGGGGGCAACCCUGACCGAGCAACGCCGCGUGAGUGAAGAAGGUUUUCGGAUCGUAAAGCUCUGUUGUAAGUCAAGAACGAGUGUGAGAGUGGAAAGUUCACACUGUGACGGUAGCUUACCAGAAAGGGACGGCUAACUACGUGCCAGCAGCCGCGGUAAUACGUAGGUCCCGAGCGUUGUCCGGAUUUAUUGGGCGUAAAGCGAGCGCAGGCGGUUUGAUAAGUCUGAAGUUAAAGGCUGUGGCUCAACCAUAGUUCGCUUUGGAAACUGUCAAACUUGAGUGCAGAAGGGGAGAGUGGAAUUCCAUGUGUAGCGGUGAAAUGCGUAGAUAUAUGGAGGAACACCGGUGGCGAAAGCGGCUCUCUGGUCUGUAACUGACGCUGAGGCUCGAAAGCGUGGGGAGCGAACAGGAUUAGAUACCCUGGUAGUCCACGCCGUANCGAUGAGUGCUAGGUGUUGGAUCCUUUCCGGGAUUCAGUGCCGCAGCUAACGCAUUAAGCACUCCCGCCUGGGGGAGUACGACCGCAAGGUUG